AAUUCUCAACCUCAUCACUUUUGUGAUGAUGGCUUGGAUGUGGAGGUUUUCUGCAGGCUUUCAAAAGUCUGCUCCUCUCAAAUGAAUUAGUGGGUGCCCCGCGCAAACCUAUCUAUUGGUGUGAUAAUUAUCUACGCCGUGGGUUUAAGGAUUGCUGUAAAAAGGUGUUUGCCCUGCUUCUAAUCGUCCUGUUAUUGGGACAACUUGAACC
This 211-nucleotide unclassified non-coding RNA is filed under the name uncultured Agaricales. RNAcentral describes it as "sequence contains ITS2". Lineage: Eukaryota; Fungi; Basidiomycota; Agaricomycetes; Agaricales. The record is from RNAcentral.